This is a long non-coding RNA of Camelus dromedarius (Arabian camel), 552 nucleotides long. RefSeq lists it as uncharacterized. The transcript is spliced from 4 exons. NCBI's taxonomy places the organism in Eukaryota, Metazoa, Chordata, Mammalia, Artiodactyla, Camelidae. The record is from RefSeq and is a predicted model, not a curated record.
GUGCAGGAGGCGCGUCCAGCCUGGAGGCCGCCUCGUCCCCUCGCCUCACGAGGCCCGUGUCGGGCAGCCGCCCAGUCUUCCCCGGUCUGCGCGUCGUCCAGUCGGCUACUGAGCUUCCGCAAAACCGAGUGUUUCUGAAGCCCAUGAACAGACACUUUCUGUGUUGUUCCGAACAUGCUUGUAAAGAGGACAAUCCUCGGUGUGGAAGAGCUCAAGAGAGGCCACAGCUGAACUCAGACAUCAGGAGAGAGGGGCUUUGAAUCUGCCUGAAAGCCAUCCUGUUUUUGAUGACAAUGUGCAGUUUUCAUGGAGCUUCCACCAACAUACCAUCUGCACUGCUUUCACUGCGGACACCAGCUUUUCACCAGGUGUGGUACCUCCAGUGGCUCCUUGUGCCUUCCUGCUAGUGGCUUAUUGAGUCUGCGCCAAUGUGAAGCUGCUACACAGAGCAUGUUAUUGUCAUUGUGAUGACAGAAGGGCAAGAGAGCACGCAUAUUUCAAGCCUAUGCUGAAAUCACAUCCACUAACAUUGCAUUGACCAAAUCAAGUUAU